Molecule: ribosomal RNA, 275 nt
Filed under: uncultured bacterium
Lineage: Bacteria
Description: partial 16S ribosomal RNA
Rfam family: Bacterial small subunit ribosomal RNA
Source: RNAcentral
AUACGGAGGGGGCAAGCGUUGUCCGGAAUUACUGGGCGUAAAGAGCUCGUAGGCGGCUCAGCAAGUCGGUCGUGAAAGCCCGAGGCUCAACCUCGGAACUGCGGUCGAUACUGCUGUGGCUAGAGUCCGGUAGAGGGGAGUGGAAUUCCCGGUGUAGCGGUGGAAUGCGCAGAUAUCGGGAGGAACACCAGUGGCGAAGGCGGCUCUCCGGGCCGGUACUGACACUGAGGAGCGAAAGCGUGGGGAGCAAACAGGAUUAGAAACCCUAGUAGUCC